Molecule: ribosomal RNA, 465 nt
Filed under: Vreelandella stevensii
Lineage: Bacteria; Pseudomonadati; Pseudomonadota; Gammaproteobacteria; Oceanospirillales; Halomonadaceae
Description: partial 16S ribosomal RNA
Rfam family: Bacterial small subunit ribosomal RNA
Source: RNAcentral
CCUACGGGGGGCAGCAGUGGGGAAUAUUGGACAAUGGGGGCAACCCUGAUCCAGCCAUGCCGCGUGUGUGAAGAAGGCCCUCGGGUUGUAAAGCACUUUCAGUGAGGAAGAACGCCUGGUGGUUAAUACCCAUCAGGAAAGACAUCACUCACAGAAGAAGCACCGGCUAACUCCGUGCCAGCAGCCGCGGUAAUAUGGAGGGUGCGAGCGUUAAUCGGAAUUACUGGGCGUAAAGCGCGCGUAGGUGGCUUGAUAAGCCGGUUGUGAAAGCCCCGGGCUCAACCUGGGAACGGCAUCCGGAACUGUCAAGCUAGAGUGCAGGAGAGGAAGGUAGAAUUCCCGGUGUAGCGGUGAAAUGCGUAGAGAUCGGGAGGAAUACCAGUGGCGAAGGCGGCCUUCUGGACUGACACUGACACUGAGGUGCGAAAGCGUGGGUAGCAAACAGGAUUAGAUACCCGUGUAGUC